GUUUCAAUUCCUCAUAGGCAGGCUAUCGGCUUCGGACCCCCUGGGCAGAAAGCUCUUUGAAAACCGCAG
This 69-nucleotide small RNA is filed under the name Acididesulfobacillus acetoxydans. Its description in RNAcentral is "Peptococcaceae bacterium INE non-coding RNA". The record is from RNAcentral. Lineage: Bacteria; Bacillati; Bacillota; Clostridia; Eubacteriales; Peptococcaceae.